UGAGCAUUGAGAAAAGAUUGUUGCUGAUGUAGAGUUUUGUAACGGUGGACCCCACAGUCCAUGACAGAAACAAAUAGGACAGAAAAUUCCAUCUUCAUCACUAACAAAAGAAAAGGCAUAUUUCUAGAUUGGCUUAACGCGUGCAGUCUGCUGUCCCGCAAAUAUUUAUUUCAUUCUGAUCUACCUUUUUUCUGUCUAGCGUCACAAGUGUGGAGGAGGAGCCAGAGAGUGUCUACGAGCUGGUGGGGGCGGUGGCAGUGGUCCGUUGACAUCACAAAUAUGGGGAAGGAGACGUUUCUCGAAGGAUUGUCCACAAGGGGACCGUGGCGGUGGUGGAAGUCGUACCUGCCAUGCGGUAAAAAAAAAACAAGAAAACAUUUGUAGUGUUCGUUUUUAACGAAGAAGAGGGCCAUGUAGCAAGGGAUUUUCCUCAAGGAGGAUGCAAUGGGUUCGUUGUUUUACCCCUAAAGUCAUGAAGCUGGUUACACCUCGAAAGGCUGUCCGAAUCUAUUCAGUGAAUUGAUGGGAGAUGUAGAGCCGCGUAAGCAAUACAUUCCGGAAGCUGUGACAUGCGAUGAAAAGGAACUCUUUAAGGGCAUCGUCUGUGGGAAACACUUUAACAAUUCUGAUAUAGUUGUUCUUUCAAAAAACAAAAAAAAACUGGACUGGCAUGGGUUGAUGGACCCGAAACCCGCUUUCAUUGUUAAGGUUUCAUUCAGGGCAUAGCUCAGGUUUUAAACAGGUGGUUGCAUGGACAUUUCAUGGCACUGUUCAUACCAAAUUGGCCGCGAUGUUGCAUCGAGCAGCCUUCACGGAUUUGUCCCAAUAACUUUGGAUGUCGAAGCUUCUCGAAUUUCUGCUUGAUAGAAAUGGUGAUGCAACACAAUAGUGAAAUGGAAAGAACAGACUUUCUUACAUAAUUGCCAGUUAAUUGUUGCAGCUGUUUGUUCAAGGAAAAUCCAUUUGUUGAAGAAAUUUUAGAAACGCACAAUAAGAUAACGGACGUCAAGUGCAAGUAACCAGCCAUUGCAUCACCCAAGACGUAUACUGAUUUAACCCCGGCGACUGUAUCACCGAUUUAUGGCACAAUUUGAAAGUGCUGGUAAACUUUUCAUUUCUAGGUUAGGUGAGGGAAGAAAGUGGAUCCUACGUUUUUGCUGUAGGUGUGUGCCUGAACUGAAGUUAAAGGCAGGAACUGAAGUAGAAGAAGGGCAACCUAUUCGAAUCUGCCCGACGACGAUAUCGAUGAUCCUCAGGCCACAACAGUCCAUAAUUUUCACGAUCUUGAGUUUCCAAAAAGCUCAGCUGCUCAAUAAGACAUGGAUAGCUGAAAAGAAUUCAGCAACUAAUGAUGAAGAACGCGAACCACCAGCUCAGACGAGACGAAGAUGUGAGUUUGUUUUGAACAACAAAGUCCCGUUGUGGAACGAACACAGUCAAGUUUAUCAGUUGGACUUUGGAGGGAGAGUGACCCAAGAAUCUGCGAAAAAAUUUUCAGAUUGAAUUCUGAGGAAAACAGGUUAUGCAGUUUAGCAGAAUCGAUGGGAAUGCCUACACGUUAGAUUUUCAGUAUCCUUUCUCAGCUGUCCAGGCUUUUGCUGUGGCAUUGGUGACUCAACGAUUGAAAUAAAAAUGGAAUUUGGAUAAAUCUGUCCAGAGAUGGUCAAUGUGAUAUGAAACAUUCGUAUCUGAGAAUUUAUUCCACGUGUCAUUCCUUUAUUUAUUAUGAAAGUUUUAAAUACAC
Long non-coding RNA from Daphnia carinata, 1744 nucleotides. RefSeq lists it as uncharacterized. The transcript has 9 exons. The record is from RefSeq and is a predicted model, not a curated record. Lineage: Eukaryota; Metazoa; Arthropoda; Branchiopoda; Diplostraca; Daphniidae.